This is a long non-coding RNA of Lutra lutra (Eurasian river otter), 170 nucleotides long. RefSeq lists it as uncharacterized. NCBI's taxonomy places the organism in Eukaryota, Metazoa, Chordata, Mammalia, Carnivora, Mustelidae. The record is from RefSeq and is a predicted model, not a curated record. The transcript is spliced from 4 exons.
GGGAAGAGAAGAUCAUAAGCACAGGGAGGGGCACCCGUGGGGGUUCAGUCGGUGAAAAAUCUGUCUUCGGCUCAGGUCGUGAUCCCAGGGUCCUGGGAUCGAGCUCUGCAUCGGGCUCCCUACUCAGCAGGGAGUCUGCUUGUCCCUCUGCCCACCUCCCUUGCUCAUGC